UACGGAGGGGACUAGCGUUGCUCGGAAUUACUGGGCGUAAAGGGCGCGUAGGCGGUGUGUCAAGUCAGGCGUGAAAGCCCCGGGCUCAACCUGGGAACCGCGCUUGAGACUGGCACGCUCGAGUUCGGGAGAGGAUGGUGGAAUUCCCAGUGUAGAGGUGAAAUUCGUAGAUAUUGGGAAGAACACCGAUGGCGAAGGCAGCCAUCUGGACCGACACUGACGCUGAGGCGCGAAAGCGUGGGGAGCAAACAGG
This 253-nucleotide ribosomal RNA is filed under the name uncultured bacterium. RNAcentral describes it as "partial 16S ribosomal RNA". It matches the Rfam family "Bacterial small subunit ribosomal RNA", at positions 524 to 776 of the family's 1533-position model. The record is from RNAcentral.